This 1669-nucleotide ribosomal RNA is filed under the name Shigella flexneri. RNAcentral describes it as "partial 23S ribosomal RNA". It matches the Rfam family "Bacterial large subunit ribosomal RNA", at positions 1294 to 2925 of the family's 2925-position model. The record is from RNAcentral. Lineage: Bacteria; Pseudomonadati; Pseudomonadota; Gammaproteobacteria; Enterobacterales; Enterobacteriaceae.
AUGCUGACAUAAGUAACGAUAAAGCGGGUGAAAAGCCCGCUCGCCGGAAGACCAAGGGUUCCUGUCCAACGUUAAUCGGGGCAGGGUGAGUCGACCCCUAAGGCGAGGCCGAAAGGCGUAGUCGAUGGGAAACAGGUUAAUAUUCCUGUACUUGGUGUUACUGCGAAGGGGGGACGGAGAAGGCUAUGUUGGCCGGGCGACGGUUGUCCCGGUUUAAGCGUGUAGGCUGGUUUUCCAGGCAAAUCCGGAAAACUAAGGCUGAGGCGUGAUGACGAGGCACUACGGUGCUGAAGCAACAAAUGCCCUGCUUCCAGGAAAAGCCUCUAAGCAUCAGGUAACAUCAAAUCGUACCCCAAACCGACACAGGUGGUCAGGUAGAGAAUACCAAGGCGCUUGAGAGAACUCGGGUGAAGGAACUAGGCAAAAUGGUGCCGUAACUUCGGGAGAAGGCACGCUGAUAUGUAGGUGAAGUCCCUCGCGGAUGGAGCUGAAAUCAGUCGAAGAUACCAGCUGGCUGCAACUGUUUAUUAAAAACACAGCACUGUGCAAACACGAAAGUGGACGUAUACGGUGUGACGCCUGCCCGGUGCCGGAAGGUUAAUUGAUGGGGUCAGCGCAAGCGAAGCUCUUGAUCGAAGCCCCGGUAAACGGCGGCCGUAACUAUAACGGUCCUAAGGUAGCGAAAUUCCUUGUCGGGUAAGUUCCGACCUGCACGAAUGGCGUAAUGAUGGCCAGGCUGUCUCCACCCGAGACUCAGUGAAAUUGAACUCGCUGUGAAGAUGCAGUGUACCCGCGGCAAGACGGAAAGACCCCGUGAACCUUUACUAUAGCUUGACACUGAACAUUGAGCCUUGAUGUGUAGGAUAGGUGGGAGGCUUUGAAGUGUGGACGCCAGUCUGCAUGGAGCCGACCUUGAAAUACCACCCUUUAAUGUUUGAUGUUCUAACGUUGACCCGUAAUCCGGGUUGCGGACAGUGUCUGGUGGGUAGUUUGACUGGGGCGGUCUCCUCCUAAAGAGUAACGGAGGAGCACGAAGGUUGGCUAAUCCUGGUCGGACAUCAGGAGGUUAGUGCAAUGGCAUAAGCCAGCUUGACUGCGAGCGUGACGGCGCGAGCAGGUGCGAAAGCAGGUCAUAGUGAUCCGGUGGUUCUGAAUGGAAGGGCCAUCGCUCAACGGAUAAAAGGUACUCCGGGGAUAACAGGCUGAUACCGCCCAAGAGUUCAUAUCGACGGCGGUGUUUGGCACCUCGAUGUCGGCUCAUCACAUCCUGGGGCUGAAGUAGGUCCCAAGGGUAUGGCUGUUCGCCAUUUAAAGUGGUACGCGAGCUGGGUUUAGAACGUCGUGAGACAGUUCGGUCCCUAUCUGCCGUGGGCGCUGGAGAACUGAGGGGGGCUGCUCCUAGUACGAGAGGACCGGAGUGGACGCAUCACUGGUGUUCGGGUUGUCAUGCCAAUGGCACUGCCCGGUAGCUAAAUGCGGAAGAGAUAAGUGCUGAAAGCAUCUAAGCACGAAACUUGCCCCGAGAUGAGUUCUCCCUGACUCCUUGAGAGUCCUGAAGGAACGUUGAAGACGACGACGUUGAUAGGCCGGGUGUGUAAGCGCAGCGAUGCGUUGAGCUAACCGGUACUAAUGAACCGUGAGGCUUAACCUUACAACGCCGAAGGUGUUU